Molecule: ribosomal RNA, 787 nt
Filed under: uncultured bacterium
Lineage: Bacteria
Description: bacterial SSU rRNA
Rfam family: Bacterial small subunit ribosomal RNA
Source: RNAcentral
AGAGUUUGAUCAUGGCUCAGAUUGAACGCUGGCGGCAUGCCUUACACAUGCAAGUCGAACGGUAACAGGUCUUCGGAUGCUGACGAGUGGCGAACGGGUGAGUAAUACAUCGGAACGUGCCCGAUCGUGGGGGAUAACGAGGCGAAAGCUUUGCUAAUACCGCAUACGAUCUACGGAUGAAAGCGGGGGAUCUUCGGACCUCGCGCGGACGGAGCGGCCGAUGGCAGAUUAGGUAGUUGGUGGGAUAAAAGCUUACCAAGCCGACGAUCUGUAGCUGGUCUGAGAGGAUGAUCAGCCACACUGGGACUGAGACACGGCCCAGACUCCUACGGGAGGCAGCAGUGGGGAAUUUUGGACAAUGGGCGAAAGCCUGAUCCAGCCAUGCCGCGUGCAGGAUGAAGGCCUUCGGGUUGUAAACUGCUUUUGUACGGAACGAAAAGCCUCUUUCUAAUAAAGAGGGGUCAUGACGGUACCGUAAGAAUAAGCACCGGCUAACUACGUGCCAGCAGCCGCGGUAAUACGUAGGGUGCAAGCGUUAAUCGGAAUUACUGGGCGUAAAGCGUGCGCAGGCGGUUUUGUAAGACAGAGGUGAAAUCCCCGGGCUCAACCUGGGAACUGCCUUUGUGACUGCAAGGCUGGAGUGCGGCAGAGGGGGAUGGAAUUCCGCGUGUAGCAGUGAAAUGCGUAGAUAUGCGGAGGAACACCGAUGGCGAAGGCAAUCCCCUGGGCCUGCAYUGACGCUCAUGCACGAAAGCGUGGGGAGCAAACAGGAUUAGAUACCCCGGUA